ACACAUGCAAGUCGAGCGGAAACGAGUUAACUGAACCUUCGGGGAACGUUAACGGCGUCGAGCGGCGGACGGGUGAGUAAUGCCUGGGAAAUUGCCCUGAUGUGGGGGAUAACCAUUGGAAACGAUGGCUAAUACCGCAUAAUAGCUUCGGCUCAAAGAGGGGGACCUUCGGGCCUCUCGCGUCAGGAUAUGCCCAGGUGGGAUUAGCUAGUUGGUGAGGUAAUGGCUCACCAAGGCGACGAUCCCUAGCUGGUCUGAGAGGAUGAUCAGCCACACUGGAACUGAGACACGGUCCAGACUCCUACGGGAGGCAGCAGUGGGGAAUAUUGCACAAUGGGCGCAAGCCUGAUGCAGCCAUGCCGCGUGUAUGAAGAAGGCCUUCGGGUUGUAAAGUACUUUCAGCAGUGAGGAAGGCGGAGUCGUUAAUAGCGGCCUCGUUUGACGUUAGCUGCAGAAGAAGCACCGGCUAACUCCGUGCCAGCAGCCGCGGUAAUACGGAGGGUGCGAGCGUUAAUCGGAAUUACUGGGCGUAAAGCGCAUGCAGGUGGUUUGUUAAGUCAGAUGUGAAAGCCCGGGGCUCAACCUCGGAAUUGCAUUUGAAACUGGCAGACUAGAGUACUGUAGAGGGGGGUAGAAUUUCAGGUGUAGCGGUGAAAUGCGUAGAGAUCUGAAGGAAUACCGGUGGCGAAGGCGGCCCCCUGGACAGAUACUGACACUCAGAUGCGAAAGCGUGGGGAGCAAACAGGAUUAGAUACCCUGGUAGUCCACGCCGUAAACGAUGUCUACUUGGAGGUUGUGGCCUUGAGCCGUGGCUUUCGGAGCUAACGCGUUAAGUAGACCGCCUGGGGAGUACGGUCGCAAGAUUAAAACUCAAAUGAAUUGACGGGGGCCCGCACAAGCGGUGGAGCAUGUGGUUUAAUUCGAUGCAACGCGAAGAACCUUACCUACUCUUGACAUCCAGAGAACUUUCCAGGAGAUGGAUUGGUGCCUUCGGGAACUCUGAGACAGGUGCUGCAUGGCUGUCGUCAGCUCGUGUUGUGAAAUGUUGGGUUAAGUCCCGCAACGAGCGCAACCCUUAUCCUUGU
RNAcentral lists this ribosomal RNA (1085 nucleotides) under Vibrio sp. UST061013-006. RNAcentral describes it as "bacterial SSU rRNA". It matches the Rfam family "Bacterial small subunit ribosomal RNA", at positions 51 to 1114 of the family's 1533-position model. The record is from RNAcentral. Lineage: Bacteria; Pseudomonadati; Pseudomonadota; Gammaproteobacteria; Vibrionales; Vibrionaceae.